AUAGUCUUAGCUAAGUGGUUACCACAGCAGAUUCGAAAUCUGUUUCUCUUCGACUCGCGCAGGUUCAAAACCUGCCGAAUGAG
Non-coding RNA from Suillus subaureus, 83 nucleotides. Lineage: Eukaryota; Fungi; Basidiomycota; Agaricomycetes; Boletales; Suillaceae. The record is from the annotation of a RefSeq genome assembly.